GGGCCGUUAGCUCAGCUGGUAGAGCACCGGACUUUUAAUCCGAUGGUCGCUGGUUCGAAUCCAGCACGGCUCACC
This 75-nucleotide transfer RNA is filed under the name Actinobacteria bacterium ADurb.Bin444. RNAcentral's name for it is "tRNA-Lys". It matches the Rfam family "tRNA". Rfam says of the family: Transfer RNA (tRNA) molecules are approximately 80 nucleotides in length. Their secondary structure includes four short double-helical elements and three loops (D, anti-codon, and T loops). Lineage: Bacteria; Bacillati; Actinomycetota. The record is from RNAcentral.